Entelurus aequoreus (snake pipefish) is the source of this 186-nucleotide long non-coding RNA. RefSeq lists it as uncharacterized. The transcript has 3 exons. Lineage: Eukaryota; Metazoa; Chordata; Actinopteri; Syngnathiformes; Syngnathidae. The record is from RefSeq and is a predicted model, not a curated record.
GAGGUGUUGGUGAAGGAGCAUCUUCUUCUUCAGCCUCCACCUGACAAGCUCUGAAUUUGAAGUACAUCUUAGGUACGUCUGAGCAGUGGGGGUCAGUGUCGUCACAUCAGCAGCCCUCCCCCCAGUGACUAAACCACUCUGGAAGAAGUGUUGCUUCAGCGCAGUCUUCACCUGAACCAGUGAGGU